Molecule: non-coding RNA, 84 nt
Organism: Anolis carolinensis (green anole)
Lineage: Eukaryota; Metazoa; Chordata; Lepidosauria; Squamata; Anolidae
Source: Rfam
UAACAAUGCAGGUGGGGACAUGUUGGAUGUGUGAUUAUGUUUGUACAUAAUCACACAUCCAACAUGUUCCUGCCUGUAUUGUUA